UUACCAGGCGACGCCGAGCGCCGGCAAGCUGGUACUUGUAGUCCGCCCGGAAGAGGCAGGCGCUAGCGCGGCGACAGCCCAGCGACCCCUGCGCGUGCGCGACGCUGAGGAAGCCGGCCCGGAAGGUUCGAUUUUGCCGGUGGCUGUUCUUACCUCAGCUUUUGGAGGAGCAGGGAACCCAGGCUGUUCAGCGUCUCUUGUGGAGUGAAUUCGGGGCGGUUUCUCCUGAGUUAGGGAGUGUGUACUGUGCUGUGCUCACUUGCUUCAGUUGUGUCCGACUCUUUGUGACCUGUGGACUGUAGCCUGCCAGGCUCCUCUGUUCAUAGGAUUCUCCAGGAGAUCUUAGUUCCCCAGUCAGGGAUCCAACUGAUGCCCCCUACAGUGGAAAUGUGGAGUCCUAACCACUGGACCACCAGGGAAUUCCCCUCCGUGUCCUUGUGGAACUUACAUUUUUGUAAGGCUAGACAGAACUGUGGUGCUGGAGAAGAUGAAGAUCAGAUCAGUCAAUCCUAAAGGAAAUCAACCCUGAAUACUCAUUGGAAGGACUGAUGCUGAAGUUGAAGCUCCAAUACUUUGGCCACCUAA
This is a long non-coding RNA of Cervus elaphus (red deer), 585 nucleotides long. RefSeq lists it as uncharacterized. The transcript is spliced from 3 exons. The record is from RefSeq and is a predicted model, not a curated record. Lineage: Eukaryota; Metazoa; Chordata; Mammalia; Artiodactyla; Cervidae.